Molecule: ribosomal RNA, 477 nt
Filed under: uncultured bacterium
Lineage: Bacteria
Description: partial 16S ribosomal RNA
Rfam family: Bacterial small subunit ribosomal RNA
Source: RNAcentral
UAGGGAAUCUUCCACAAUGGACGCAAGUCUGAUGGAGCAACGGCCGCGUGAGUGAAGAAGGUUUUCGGAUCGUAAAGCUCUGUUGUUGGUGAAGAAGGAUAGAGGCAGUAACUGGUCUUUAUUUGACGGUAAUCAACCAGAAAGUCACGGCUAACUACGUGCCAGCAGCCGCGGUAAUACGUAGGUGGCAAGCGUUGUCCGGAUUUAUUGGGCGUAAAGCGAGCGCAGGCGGAAUGAUAAGUCUGAUGUGAAAGCCCACGGCUCAACCGUGGAACUGCAUCGGAAACUGUCAUUCUUGAGUGCAGAAGAGGAGAGUGGAACUCCAUGUGUAGCGGUGGAAUGCGUAGAUAUAUGGAAGAACACCAGUGGCGAAGGCGGCUCUCUGGUCUGCAACUGACGCUGAGGCUCGAAAGCAUGGGUAGCGAACAGGAUUAGAUACCCUGGUAGUCCAUGCCGUAAACGAUGGGCGCUAGGUGU